ACGCUCGACACCUACGGGAGGCAGCAGUGGGGAAUAUUGGGCAAUGGGCGCAAGCCUGACCCAGCAACGCCGCGUGAAGGAAGAAGGCUUUCGGGUUGUAAACUUCUUUUGUCAGGGAAGAGCAGAAGACGGUACCUGACGAAUAAGCCACGGCUAACUACGUACCAGCAGCCGCGGUAAUCUGAGCGGGCUGGCAAGGC
Molecule: ribosomal RNA, 200 nt
Filed under: uncultured bacterium
Lineage: Bacteria
Description: partial 16S ribosomal RNA
Rfam family: Bacterial small subunit ribosomal RNA
Source: RNAcentral